This 73-nucleotide transfer RNA is filed under the name Dallia pectoralis (Alaska blackfish). RNAcentral's name for it is "tRNA-OTHER". The stretch from base 8 to 65 matches the Rfam family "tRNA", at positions 8 to 63 of the family's 71-position model. Rfam says of the family: Transfer RNA (tRNA) molecules are approximately 80 nucleotides in length. Their secondary structure includes four short double-helical elements and three loops (D, anti-codon, and T loops). The record is from RNAcentral. Lineage: Eukaryota; Metazoa; Chordata; Actinopteri; Esociformes; Umbridae.
GACCAUGUGGCCUAAUGGAUAAGGCGUCUGACUUCGAAUCAGAAGAUUGAGGGUUCGAGUCCAUUUUCUGCUU